GGGGCCUGGAGCAGAUGCAUCAGAGGGGGCUCAGUGAGGAGGCUGGUAAGUUGAGGGUGGCUGUUGGUUAGGGCGUGGAGCUCAGUUCCUUCCCACCUGGGGCCUUUCUGACUGCUGUUUGAACUGUUUACUUUAUAGGUCCAAUUUUUGGCCAGGGAAGCACAAGAGAAUGGUUUUUCACAACACCCAGGACUGGAUCCCUACCCAACUCCACAUAUUCACCAAAUUUUUCCUGAGAUUCCUGUUUGUCUGUCCUACCAGUUCACACUGUCCUUGAAGGCUGGUGUCUCCGUGUUCCUGCCAGGUCAGGUUUCAACCCAGUGGUAUUGAAUGUGUUGUCAUUUAAUUCAGAACAAUUCUGAGUAGAACUGAGAUUUAAAUUGGUAAGUGUUUGACUACAAAACAAACACCUCUAACUACUAAGCUAUUAAUACCCCCUUGUUU
This 444-nucleotide long non-coding RNA is filed under the name Mustela putorius furo (domestic ferret). RNAcentral describes it as "lncRNA (ENSMPUG00000028393.1)". The record is from RNAcentral. Lineage: Eukaryota; Metazoa; Chordata; Mammalia; Carnivora; Mustelidae.